This 243-nucleotide ribosomal RNA is filed under the name uncultured bacterium. RNAcentral's name for it is "partial 16S ribosomal RNA". It matches the Rfam family "Bacterial small subunit ribosomal RNA", at positions 524 to 765 of the family's 1533-position model. The record is from RNAcentral.
UACGAAGGGUGCAAACGUUGCUCGGAAUUAUUGGGCGUAAAGCGCACGUAGGCGGCUUAGCAAGUCGGAUGUGAAAUCCCUCGGCUCAACCAAGGAAGUGCAUCCGAAACUGCUGAGCUUGAGUACUUAAGAGGAUCGCGGAAUUCCCGGUGUAGAGGUGAAAUUCGUAGAUAUCGGGAGGAACACCAGUGGCGAAGGCGGCGAUCUGGGAAGAUACUGACGCUGAGGUGCGAAAAGCGUGGG